RNAcentral lists this ribosomal RNA (292 nucleotides) under uncultured bacterium. RNAcentral's name for it is "partial 16S ribosomal RNA". The record is from RNAcentral.
GGACUACACGGGUAUCUAAUCCUGUUUGCUCCCCACGCUUUCGCGCAUCAGCGUCAGUAACGGGCCAGUGAGUCGCCUUCGCCACUGGUGUUCUUCCGAAUAUCUACGAAUUUCACCUCUACACUCGGAGUUCCACUCACCUCUCCCGCACUCAAGAUGUCCAGUAUCGAAGGCAAUUCCAGGGUUGAGCCCUGGGCUUUCACCCCCGACUUAAACAUCCGCCUACGCGCCCUUUACGCCCAGUAAUUCCGAGCAACGCUAGCCCCCUUCGUAUUACCGCGGCGGCUGGCAC